GCAAGUCGAGGGGCGAGACGACAAGGAGCAAUCUGAGGUGGCGACCGGCGGCACGGGUGAGUAACACGUAUGCAACCUAGCCUGUAAGCGGGGAAGUAACCCGUUGAAAGACGGACUAAUACCGACAUAAUACUAAAUUACUGCAUGGUAAUUUAUUUAAACAUUUAUGGCUUACAGAUGGGCAUGCGCAUGAUUAGCUAGUUGGAGAGGUAACGGCUCCCCAAGGCAACGAUCAUUAGGGGUUCUGAGAGGAAGGUCCCCCACACUGGUACUGAGACACGGACCAGACUCCUACGGGAGGCAGCAGUGAGGAAUAUUGGUCAAUGGACGAGAGUCUGAACCAGCCAAGUCGCGUGCAGGAAGAAUGUCCCUAUGGAUUGUAAACUGCUUUUGCAGGGGAAUAAAGUGCAUCACGUGUGAUGUUUUGUAUGUACUCUGCGAAUAAGGAUCGGCUAACUCCGUGCCAGCCGCCGC
RNAcentral lists this ribosomal RNA (474 nucleotides) under uncultured bacterium. RNAcentral describes it as "bacterial SSU rRNA". It matches the Rfam family "Bacterial small subunit ribosomal RNA", at positions 57 to 518 of the family's 1533-position model. The record is from RNAcentral.